CAGUCGCCGCGGGAAUACGAAGGGGGCUAGCGUUGUUCGGAAUUACUGGGCGUAAAGCGCACGUAGGCGGAUCGAUCAGUCAGGGGUGAAAUCCCAGGGCUCAACCCUGGAACUGCCUUUGAUACUGUCGAUCUGGAGUAUGGAAGAGGUGAGUGGAAUUCCGAGUGUAGAGGUGAAAUUCGUAGAUAUUCGGAGGAACACCAGUGGCGAAGGCGGCUCACUGGUCCAUUACUGACGCUGAGGUGCGAAAGUGUGGGGAGCAAACAGGAUUAGAGACCCGAGUAGUCCCUGUCUCUUAUAC
Molecule: ribosomal RNA, 301 nt
Filed under: uncultured bacterium
Lineage: Bacteria
Description: partial 16S ribosomal RNA
Rfam family: Bacterial small subunit ribosomal RNA
Source: RNAcentral